GUAGUGUGAUACACGAAAAAACAAGCUCUCUUUUGUGACCGGUUCGCGAGAAUCCCGCGCUGUGUUGUGGUCCUUACCAUCCUCAACCCUCCAGAAAAUACCCCUAAGAAGACCUGGCCGGGCAGACGACGACGCGGGAAACCAUUGAGGUGGGUUUAAUCGUUUCGGGUGUUGUAUGUCCUACCGUUUUCUUGCCGCUCUUUCCCGUAAAAUUUUGAGAGUGAUUUACAACCACCUUCCCCCAACCCUUUACAAUGCAUAUCACAAUUUUUCUUGAUUAUACAUGUUCCUUUACCUACACCCACCUUCCUAUACCUAUACCUAUGUCUUAAUAUUCUCCAUUGCUGACUUUUAUUCCAACUGGCCAUGCAGAAACGUAUUGUCAGAUGCCAAAGAGAGUAUUUCUUUGAAACAAAAGUGCGAAAUAAACACCGUACAGAAAGUAACCGUUAAUGUAAAUAUUCAAUAUGUCCCCCAUUUUGUAGUAACCAUUCCACAAUGCGGUCCACGGCAGACCUUGUUGUCAUGCUCUCUAUUUCCCCUUGAUAUAAUGAGUCUAAAUUUCUGGGUAUUCGAACAAUUAAUUCGUAAACAUUAGUAUUAUUAUUAUGUCGAUUGUUUGUAAUAAAAAUGUCUUCCCUUGUAAAUUUGUAUUUAUCAGUCCAAAUUAUGAAUGAAUUAAGAAUUAGGAAUAUCUCGCAAAAUUGUGUACGCCCGGCAAAACCUUCUUGGUGGAGAGGGUACGCGGUAUUAAAUUUACAGGGGUGCAAUCCAUUCUGUUUCAAAAUCCUGUAUACGAAAUUUCUUGACAUCCCCAAAUCUUUUUCCACAUGCGCAUGAAAAUAAACUAACACAUUAAUGAUAUUUCCAUUUAUACCAUUUUCCCCAAACAUUUUUUUCAACCUUCUGAUUAAUGAAUUAAUCAGAAAGUUCUACUCACAACUCUGCUGCACUCCCCAAGUAUUACCAAGAAACCCAGAAUUUUAUUCAUUCAAAUUCCGGGCACUUUUUCUUGUAAUUUUUCGUCGAGAAACUUCAUUUCAGUGAUAACUGACAAUACGUUUCUGCAUGAGGUCAUAUCCCAAGUGUAAUAACAAUAUUUAUUUUGUUUCCAACAAAACUUCCAAUGGAAACCCUGUAUGUGAUAAAAAGGAGCACAUCUCCCUAAGCCGUUAUUAUAUACUGCAAAAAAUACCUCACUGAGAUUUUAGGUUAAAUUUGAGGAAUUUGAGGUUGCUUCAUGACUUUUCUUUUAAAAGCCCUCUGGAAUAAUUAGGUUACCAAUUAAAAAAAAUAACCAUUUUGUUGACCCCUUUUUAUUGUCAUAAAUAACUUAUUUAAUUAACUCUUGCAUUAUAAACUCACUCUUUUUCACUCUUUUCGGAAAAGUGGAAGAUUGUCAAAGUAAAUCUUCUCGCCAAAAUCUCUAGUCCUGUAACUUGCAAUAAUAUUCGACCAUUUUGCCUAGCUUUGACAAGAUUUUUGAAAAAUUAAAAAAAAAAAAACAAAUUGAAAAAUAUUUGAAGAAAAAUGAAAUAUUACCUCAAAACUUAUGACUGCUCGACUACACAAAAGCUUUUGAUGCUUUAAGUCGUCGUUUAAAAUUAAAAUGAAAGCUGUAAAUUGUAGACAUCCAAAUUCUGAAUGAAUUUGAAAAAGGGAGUUCCAGAGAGUUUUGUACUAGGACCAAAGAUAAUUUCUAUUUAUACUUCAAAAUUUUCACCUGCCUUAUCUUAUAUCAAUUUAAAAAUUCUGUAGUAAACUCAUACGAAAAAUGUAAAAUUCAUGUCUUCUACUAAUAGAGAUAAUAAUAAAACUUCAUAGAAUUGCCAGAAAAUUAUUAAUUUAAGAUCUCCACAUCUUUACAAUAAAAUAAGUUUUAGAAUUGAUGUCCACAAACUUAAUAUUAGUCUCAAAUAUACAAUAAUUUUUCGAGCUUUCUUUUUAAUGUAGAUCUAGCAGACAUCCUUUUAACACGCCGUAAUACUAAAAAUUUAUUUCUUUUUAACAAACCAAUUCAAUUGCAAGUACCCUAAAACUUAUAUCUGCCAGUUUGAAGAAAACUUUCGAUUGCUCUUUUGAAAGUAGAGCGAUGUAAAUGAAAUAUUCUUACAAUAUAUAUGAGCAAGUGCAUUAGGGAAAUAACGAGCAAAAAAAUAAAUUACUCCUCCCGAGUCUGUAGUCUACCAACUUUAAUGCAAAAACGAGUAGGAAUCUUUUAGAAGGUAAAAAUAAGUCCUAUGUCACCAAUGGUUCCAAAUAUUUCUUUGCUGCAUGCUGACGUGGUGACGUUUCGUCCAUCGUCCUCUUGGUGAAAUGUCAGCAAGUUUGAAUUAUAAAGAACCAAUGCAGGAGGAAUCGAGAAGUUUUGUAAAUAGUAUUACAGUAGCCUGUGAAAGUUUCUUUGAAAAAUUAGCUAAAUCGUAGAUAGUAUAGGAGAUGGAUCCGCUGGAAGUAAACUCACAUAUACUUGAAUUUUUUAGAGCUGCUAAAAACAUGUUAUGCAUUGUCUGGUUUUUAAUAUAGAUAGGCAUAGGUUCCUACAAACUCAUUUAUGUUCUUGUUCCCUUCCAUAAUUUUUUGCUCUCUGCUUUAUUUCCCAAUGUAAUUUGGACCCUACUGCUAAUGCUAAAGUUUUCUUGGCAUGUACUUUGAGCCCGUAGUCUGACCUUGUGAAAUAAAUUACUUUACAUUACAUGCUUGGUUAUAAUAGAUUAAUUGAGUUUGCUGUACAUGGAAUUAAAAGUUUACUAGCCGAUUAAUGUUGUUCUUUGAACUUUAGGAAGACAGAUCGACGGAUGUCGUUCACAUUGCGAUCGACGGAUGUGAAUGUGAGUGUCGAUAGUGGAAGGGCCCAAUAAAAGUACGGAAGUAGAAGAAUUACAUUUCCUUUAAAGUAGUGACCUGUUUAUUUUGCUCUUAAAAAUGAACCGAUAAUCAUAAAAACAUGAACCACGAAACACUGUAGAACAUAAUUGGAUCUUAAAACUUAGCAACGUAAUUAUUCCACAGGGUAAUCUAAAAUUAACCCCAUGAAUUCAUUUGGCCCCGUAUAAUGACGCCAACAUUUAUCAUUUUAUCGAGAGUUUUCUGAAACAUUUAUCAAAGUCAGUUUAAAAUAAUAGAAUUUUCCACAGCCUAUCCGAUCUAACAUAUUCCGCGUAUGGUUUAAAUAUAUGUUUUUCUUUAUAUGUAUUGUCAUCAUAAAAAUAAUAAUUAUAAUCGAAUGCAUUUUCAAUGCUGUACGUGUUGAACAACAGUAACGUGCCUUUUCUGGAUUAAUAAUAUAGUGAAACAAGGUUUUAAUACAAUAAAGCAUUGAAUUUCGGAUAACCAUAGUGCUCUAGUUUUAUGCAGUGUUACUUCGUAAGCACUUUUAAUUAAUAACAAAUUAAUCUAAUUAUAAACAUUAAUAUUAUUUAGGACAGCAAAAUUCGCUGUGAACCGAGUUUCAAUCAAUUUCAGUUUUUAUAAAAGCGAUGAAUAUUUUGAUAGCAACUUUUUGUAGUGCUUUAUUGGCAUAUCAAAGCUGCACUUAUGUUAUUAAUUUUGUUUGGUUCUUCAAAAACAACGAACGAAUAAUAGUAAUAUUAUUAUUAAAUUAGUAAUUUGGUCAAUAGCACAAAUGUUAUUUGCCGAAUUUUUGAAAACUGGAGAAAUUUGGAUUAUAUGACAUACACGGGUUCCCACUUAAGAACUUGCACUAAAACCUUGUUUUGCUUACUGCUUGAACUUAAAGUUAAGGGACUAUUGAACAAAAGAGAGAGAGAAGUACUGUUAGAAUUUUACCAGUUUCCAUGAGUUUAAACGCAGGGUGUUUGAAAUAUUAUUCACGCAUAUUCCUGUAAAACCUCUUUUCUACUCCCGCCUGUAAAAUAGUUCCAAAAUGUCAUUCACGUUUAUUUAUAAACGAGUUUUUUAAACAGAUUUAAAUUUCGCGGUAGUAUUGAUUGAUUAACUGAUAAUUAAAUUACUGUCUGGAAACAUCAUUCAGUUUUGUGAAACGGAAAAUCAAGAAGUACUUUUAGUGAUUUUUUAAAGCCAAAAAGGUAAUAGAUUCCUAUUAAGGAAUACUUAAAAGUAACUAGACCAGCGACCAAAGUUUUUAGUGUUUUAAAAAAUUCAAAAUUUUAGUAGAAAAAUAACGAUUAUUUUGUAUGUGCUUUUAGGAUCUUACAUAUAGGUUUUAAUUAUGAUUUUUUUUUUAAAUUAUGAUAAAAUAUUUAUUAUGGAAAAAUUAUUUUUAGUAUCAUUUUAAAAGAAAAACAUUAAUAAAUUCACAUUAUUCGAAAGCUAUAACGUAGAUACUAAUUUUCUUAAACGACUAAGGAAUAAAUGAUGCAAUCUGGAAAAGCGUCCGAGAUAUAUGAAUUAAAUCGAACUCUUCAAUUUUUAUUCAUUCAAACCGAUUAUAUUUUUUAGUUGGAAAUUUAAAGUAAUAUUGUUAGGUACCUUUACGGGAAACAUUUUAGAUUUUAGAAAGAGUUUUAAUAUAAAAAAAAACAAGGACCAUAUAUUUACCAGACAGUCGAAUAUUCAUUACUUCACAACAAGCUAGCCUUUAAAAAAGAACCACACUUACUUUUAAGAAAAACUCGUUAGUGCCUUUCAGCAAAAUCGACCCAAAAAAAAAGAGUAAAAUUGAGACAUAAACAAAAAUUCAGUAUUGCCAAGCGAGACGUCCCUGAUAUUUCGAACACUCGUUCUUAAUGGAAAUUAGUUGGGUUUCAUAUAGUCCUCAAUAAGAAUUCCUUGACACUUUUUAUUCUUAAAUGAGAAUGUAUAAAACAUAUCUAAUUUGAGGACGCGUUUGAAGUAUGGCACAUUGAAAAAGUUCCAAAAUGUCAUUUAUCUAAAAACGAGUUUCUUAAACAUAUUUAAAUUUCGCGGUAGUAUUGAUUUGACUCUUAACUGAUAAUUAAAUUAUUGUCUGGACACAACAUUCUCUCUGCGUUCUAAUUCCAGAUUCAGAAAAUAAACCUCUAUGACAUAAACCAGUUUAUGUGUUUUUAAUGGUUAGUUAUCUAAUGCAUAAAAGUGGGUUUCAUACCGGCAAAAUCAUAAAAUGCACUUUACGGCCGGCACGGCUAUAUAGACGUAUUUUGAUACUUAAGUUUGGCAGCUUUUUCAUGUACUAAUGACAUAAUAACCAAAGGAGAUUGCAUGGAUAUUUGUUUUUCUACUACCGUCUGUAAGAUACCUAAUUACACACCGAGCUGGCACUACGGACAAUUCCGGGAUUUUACCGGACGAGUUUGAGAGCAAUCGGAUGUUUUCGGAGAUAUUUUGUUACAGGCUAGAUUUACCCCAAAUCAGAAAAUUGCUUUUAGUUAAAUAUCUAAGUUUAAUCCAGCAGUAUUAAUUAACAUAAUUUUAACAGGUACAAAUAAUAGGCAUAUAUACAACUAUAAAAGGGAUAGUCAUUAGUUUCAUCUCCUCUAUAUUCCAGCUCACGUCUCGUCUUUCCUUCUCAUCCAUCUAAACACAAAUGGUGCAUGCGCCAGUAAAACACUAAAAAAAAAGAUAAAAUCAUGUUUAUAAGUCAGUUUUAGGCAUAUUAUCGGUACUCAACUAGUGUACAAUGUUUGCACCUUGCACUUACCUGAAAUUCAGUUGGGUGUUCAUAAUAAUUGGUUGUGUCACCGGCGACAUCGAGGUUUCCAAUCCAAAUUGCGGACAUAUUUAACCUUACUCUUGGAAGCAUAUUUUAAGGUUGAUUCAGUUGUUAUCACGUUUUGUGGAUUUGAAUAUAUUGGGCAACGCGAAUUUAAACAACUCUGAUAACUAGCGAGGAAGGCCACUAACAACCUGGCCUUUUAUUUCUGGACAUUAUAAAUGACCCUAUCAAAAUAACAAGCACUAGUUUGUUCGGACAGCUAGCGACAGGCAUUUUCUUUUGUCAAUACCUCCAAGAAGGUCGCCCAAGGUGAACGGUGAAGUUUGUGUCUCGACGACCUUUGAGAUUGAGGAACGUUCAUUCCAGAAUAUUCUAGACAGUCAUGCUGAUUAACAUCCACCAGAGGAAAAUAGAGCAAUAGCAGUAAAAUUUGGUAUUUAUGUUUGCGCUGAGAAUCAACCAACACCUGCAAACUGUUCUCUACAGAGUCUGUAAUGUUCAGAUAUCUUGGAAUUCAGUUAAGAAUAAAUUAAGGGAAUUUGCAAAAAGAGCCAGUUUGCCUCUUACUGCUCCCUUGUUAACCAACAUCGUCUGGCACGUUUAAGGGUCGCCAGAGAACAUGUUAAAAUUGGAAUAUCCACAACUGAGCUGAUGUUAUUUUUACGGAUGGGUCAAGGUCUGAUCAUAGAUAUAAGAAAGUGACCAAUUGCUUUUGAAUUGAAUAUCCAAGAGUGGUCAUUAACACACAAUGCAACAAGAUUAUUACUAUAAUUAAUAAUGAAUUAAUUAAUAAUUACCUUAAUGUAAUACUAAUCUUGUUGCAUUGUAUAUUAAUGACCCUUGGAUAAUCCGUUCAAAAGCAAUUAGUCACUUUCUUAUAUCUAUGAACAGAUCAUACUAGGGCUGCUACUUAUAUAUCUGGCCAAAUAAUAAAAAAAACAAAUAUUUAUCAUCGAAAUUGGUUUUGGUGUUUUUCAAAAUAUUUUCCAUGAAGAUUAAUGCAGUUUUGCAUGCGUUGGAACCAACCUUUGGCAGCUUUUCCACUCUGAUUGAGUUAGCUUCAAAACAGUUCUUUUGAGCACAUUAAAUGGUUCUUCAAACGUAGAAAAUCGUUGACCACGUAACUUUUUUUUUAAUGUGCGGGAAUAAAAAGAAGUCUUUAGGUGCCGAAUCAGGGCUGCACGGCGGGUCAAUUCGAUGUUUUGGAUAUUCAAAAAUUUCUUUUCAUUAGUGAUGUGUGAGAGCUCGCAUUGUCAUGAUGAAGUAUGAUUCUGUUUAUUUUGACGAAUUUUUUCGAUGACUUCGGGCAAACAAAUGGUCUUACGUCUCUCUAACGGCACUGUGGCUACGUGACCGAGAAAACAAGCAACCAUUUGCUUCGAUGUGCUUCUUCGGCGAACAACUUUUGUUGGAUUUUGUUCAUCUAGGUCGAUUGCUUAUGAACAGAUCAAUGAUUCGUUAUCUGUGCGGAUCUUAUAGACCGCUUUUAAAACUCCACAUUAAUAUUUUUCCAACAUUUGUUUGCACCAGUCGACACGAGCCUUUUGCUUGUCAUACUAAUCGUCAGGAUGCCUCAAUAUCACCAUAUGUCUGUCAUAUAACACCAUCUUGCAUUAUAGGUCAACCGUAGCAUCGAUGUUUUGUGGCACAACAACUGAUUUUGGACAAUCUUCACGAAAUUCAUCUUGAAGCGAACAUCGACCAUGAUUGAAUUCUUUUACAAAUUUUUCACAGAGCUGUAAGGUGGUGCUUCUUCGCCAUAUAAAAAAUUAAGUUCAUCGGUGCAUUCUUUUCUUGGUAAUCCAUGUCGAAAUUGAUUGUUUGAUUGAUAAAAUAUGAUUGUAGAUCAAAACGUUCUGAGAACAUUUGACCUAAAAAUUAUUAAAUUUUUCAAUUGAAAUGUCAGAUUGUACCUAAACCCACUCGAUGUUGCCAAGGCUAGAAAUAUAAGUAGCAGCCUUCGUAUUUAUUACUAGUAUCUGAUAGACGUAUUCCAGUUUACAGAAGUGCAGAAAUUUUGGAGGUGAUUGUGAUUGAGCGAGGCAUUUGUUCUCAAAUAGUAUUUCGUGGGGUAUCCUCAACAGCUGGUUGGUAUAUAAGAGAGGUUCUUGAGGAAAAUAUAGUGCCGUUUGUUCAACCUAUUAGAGGUGGACGUUCAAAUUAUAGCUUCGCCAGCAGUGAAUCCGGAGCCAAACCCAAUGGAACAUAUUUGGGACUACGUAGGAAGGAGCAUGAGAGCAUGAGUAAUAUUGUUCCAGAGAAUCUUGAUGAACUGGAAAAUACCUAAAGAGAAGAAUGGAAAAAAUUAAACUUAGGGUAUAUAAGAGCUUUACCUUCCACGGAAGGUGAGAAACAUCAUUAGAGUUAGAGCUGGCAAUAGCAGAUACUGAAUUGCUAAAAUUAUUUUUGAAUUUUUUUAUUUUUUUACUUUACCUUUUGAAUUUUUUUUCCAUCCAUCCAUCCAUCUAUUAUUAAACCGUCCUAAGUUUAAUUUCUUCGCAAUUUUAAAUAGAUUUAGGUUUUAGGAAGACAAAUGUUUAGGCAUUAGGUAUUUGCAUAGUU
Long non-coding RNA from Cylas formicarius (sweet potato weevil), 8179 nucleotides. RefSeq lists it as uncharacterized. Lineage: Eukaryota; Metazoa; Arthropoda; Insecta; Coleoptera; Brentidae. The transcript has 3 exons. The record is from RefSeq and is a predicted model, not a curated record.